Eucalyptus grandis is the source of this 2779-nucleotide RNA transcript. It is a transcript of the gene named chaperone protein dnaJ 1, mitochondrial-like, with no coding region annotated. The record is from RefSeq and is a predicted model, not a curated record. The transcript is spliced from 5 exons. NCBI's taxonomy places the organism in Eukaryota, Viridiplantae, Streptophyta, Magnoliopsida, Myrtales, Myrtaceae.
UUGUGCGUGGUGCUGGCUGAUCACCGUCGGUCCAGCAAGGGGCGGCGGAUCGGAGGUCCGGCGGGGAGACUCCGGCGGCAGCAGGUGGCGCCGCUCGGGAGGAGAGCUCGGCUAGCGAGCGGCGAAGGCGAGGCGGUGGCAGCUGCAGGGGCGCCGGAUCGUCGCGGGUCAGCGCGGGCUGAACAGUGGUGGCGUUGGGCGGAUCAGCGGCGUUUGCAGCGUACGGUCACUAGUCGGCGGGUGGAAGCUGGCGAGUUGGGGACGUCCGGAUCUGGCGUGGUGCUCGCUGGACGUCGGAGUCGCAAUCGGGUCGGCAAAGUCAAGCAGAUCGGCGGUGUGGCUCGGGAUCUGAGGCGUCGGGGAAGAGCAGCGCGCGACGGUGACUGACUGGUGUCACGAGGCUGGCUGAGGCGCGAGGACUGGGGACUCACGGGUCGCUGGUACCGGCGCGGGUGUGACUCGAGACUCCGGCGCGGUGGCGACCGGCGCCGGGUAAUCGCGGACGAGUGGCGGAACAGGGCAGGAGCGGCUCCGGCGUCUGGCUUCACGGACGGCGACCGGCGGGGCAGAGCGACAGUGGCGGAGGCGCGAUGGAGACGAGCUGCGGGCGGUCUGAGAUGCGGUCGCCGGACGCCGGGCGCGGCGGUGGUCACAGCUGCGGAGGCGCGACGGAUCGGGCGGCGAGGGAGUCCGAGCGGCUUGCAGUUUGAUGGCGUCGGCGCAGCGCGGGCGCGGGUGAAGAGAAGCCGGCGACCGGGGCAGCGGAUGGGGGCAGCGAAUGGGGAAGACGAUGAACACUUGCAAAGAAGUAUCAUCCUGAUGCAAAUACUAAUGAUCAUUCCGCAAAGAGGAAAUAACAAAAGAUAAGAGAUGCUUAUGAGACUUUGCAAAGUCUUGGAAAAAGAGCAGAGUACGACAGGAAAUGCUGUGGAAGUUCAGAAAAUGUUGAAUAUGGUGAAGGAGAUGCUGAGGGGUUUCCACGUUAUUAUGAAAGGCAUUUCUCUAGUUCAUUCCGCAAGAUCUUUUCUGAGGUAAUUCCAAGUGUGCCGCAUGUCAUUAUCUUCCAAUCUUCUGAUCCAUGAUAUUUGGCUAAAGAAACAUUUGGUGUCAUAUCAGAAUUUUCAGGACAAGAUGGAUCGAUUUGCAUCUGAUGUUGAGGUUCACAGUUAUACUCUUGGUCUUCUUUGUUUAUGAGAUAAUAUUACUCUGAUUUCCGCCCUUUAUCUUGUUUGCUUAAUGAGAUAAUAUUGUAGGAUUAAUGCCCACGUUAUGUUGAAAAUUUAUAGGUGGAACUGAUAUUUUCUUUCCUCAAAGCUGUGGAAGGGUGCACAAAGAUGUUUCCUUUGUCAAAUGUCUUCCUUGUGAUACUUGUUGGUUAGCAGAGUUUAGUAUUUUCUAUUUUUUAUUUUUUAUCACACUGGUUACAGUGACAGUACAUCCUUCAACCUCUUGUUUCUGCAAUGUCUCUUGGAGAUCAAAUUGAUUAUAUAUGUAGCUUUAGAUGCUAAAAAUGUGAUCAAUUUAUGCUCACUGGUACUCUGCUGCUCUGGUACCGUUUGCUUGCUAAAGGUUUUUCAACCAAUGUGUGAUUAGUUUUUGCACUUUUUGAAGGUUUUGGCUUGUCCACGUAGAACCUAAAAGUAUGAUGAAAAGCAUGGAUAAUUUAUUAUAUAUGAGAAGCAAGAUUUACGAUUGGUUGAGGUGGCUUCUAAGAAUUGGCAAAAAUUGAGGUGCCUGGAAACUGUAGGGCAAUUAUGCCUCUAAUGAGAGUUAAAUUUACUGUGAUUUUUUUUAUCAUUGGCUGUACAUAACCAUAUGAAAAUCCCAGUUACUGAUCUUUGAUUUUGCUUAUGAUAUCCUUUGAUUUUUUAUUAGUUACUUUGCAGGGUUUUUCUUUUAGUACAUUUCCUGUAGCAAAAUCAUGACGAUAUGUCUACAUGGUAAUUGCAGAUGGGUGGGCUUAUUCACCUGCUGUCAAGGUGAGAGUAUGUCCAACUUGCAGUGGCAUUGGGAGGGUAAAAAUUUCCCCAUUUACUCCAAUGACAUGCACUACCUGUAAAGGCUCGAAGUCAGUUGUCAAGGUUUAACAUCAUUUCUCCAGUUCCAGCUCAGUUUUCUUGGUGAAGCUUCCAAUACUUAGUAACUUUGGGUAGGAGCAAUGCAUUUCAUGUGGAGGAUCAGGAGUUCUUGAAGGCACUAAAAAAAUUAAAGUUACAAUUCUUUCAAGUAGGUCAGAGUUAUUGAUCUCUGACAGAGUUUUGUGGUUUUUGUGUUAAAUGCAUCCUUUCUGUGAAGAUGUAAAAUGAUGAAUAAGGCUAACUGGGUUGAGACUUGAGAUCUGGGAGAGUGAACAGGUUGUGCAUGCUCAUUUUACAGCUUUAUGGCCUCAGUUCUUUAUGUUAUAUGCACGUGACAUCUGUGAAUAUUGUUAUUACUGUCAAAACGUGCUUCUGUAGGAUUCACUGCUUUAAUAUUCUGGUUUGAGUGUAAAUUACAUGCACAUGGGUUCAGGCUGUGUUGUUAAACCUAUAUUUUUCAAACUACCUUUCUCGGAUGAUUGCAACCUUCACGGAGCCAAGUUCUGUUACUCCCAUUUUCUUCCUACAGUGUUAUACACUGCUCAUGGUUGACUCUCUGAUGAUCUUGAAGUAUUUCCCCUCUGUAAGGAAAUAAUUUCUUGUUGACACUGCUAGGCUUUUACUGCUCCAUGUGAUGGCUGCAGGAGAAAUAACACUAGUAAAAUGCAAUGGGAUGUGUGUCUGAAAUAUGAACCAUGUCC